AUAUCCUACGGGGCGCAGCAGUGGGGAAUAUUGGGCAAUGGACGCAAGUCUGACCCAGCAACGCCGCGUGAAGGAAGAAGGCUUUCGGGUUGUAAACUUCUUUUAAGGGGGAAGAGCAGAAGACGGUACCCCUUGAAUAAGCCACGGCUAACUACGUGCCAGCAGCCGCGGUAAUACGUAGGUGGCAAGCGUUGUCCGGAUUUACUGGGUGUAAAGGGCGUGCAGCCGGAGAGACAAGUCAGAUGUGAAAACCAUGGGCUCAACCUGUGGCCUGCAUUUGAACCUGUUUUUCUUGAGUACUGGAG
Molecule: ribosomal RNA, 305 nt
Filed under: uncultured bacterium
Lineage: Bacteria
Description: bacterial SSU rRNA
Rfam family: Bacterial small subunit ribosomal RNA
Source: RNAcentral